This 253-nucleotide ribosomal RNA is filed under the name uncultured bacterium. RNAcentral describes it as "partial 16S ribosomal RNA". It matches the Rfam family "Bacterial small subunit ribosomal RNA", at positions 524 to 776 of the family's 1533-position model. The record is from RNAcentral.
UACAGAGGGUGCGAGCGUUAAUCGGAAUUACUGGGCGUAAAGGGCGCGUAGGCGGAUAUUUAAGUUAGAUGUGAAAACCCUGGGCUUAACCUAGGACGUGCAUCUAAAACUGGAUGACUGGAGUGCAGUAGAGGAUAGUGGAAUUUCCGGUGUAGCGGCGAAAUGCGUAGAUAUCGGAAGGAACACCAGUGGCGAAGGCGGCUAUCUGGACUGACACUGACGCUGAGGCGCGAGAGCGUGGGGAGCAAACAGG